This 442-nucleotide ribosomal RNA is filed under the name uncultured bacterium. RNAcentral's name for it is "partial 16S ribosomal RNA". It matches the Rfam family "Bacterial small subunit ribosomal RNA", at positions 338 to 795 of the family's 1533-position model. The record is from RNAcentral.
CCUACGGGAGGCAGCAGUGGGGAAUAUUGGGCAAUGGACGCAAGUCUGACCCAGCAACGCCGCGUGAAGGAAGAAGGCUUUCGGGUUGUAAACUUCUUUUAAGGGGGAAGAGCAGAAGACGGUACCCCUUGAAUAAGCCACGGCUAACUACGUGCCAGCAGCCGCGGUAAUACGUAGGUGGCAGGCGUUGUACGGAUUUACUGGGUGUAAAGGGCGUGCAGCCGGUGAGACAAGUCAGAGGUGAAAUCCGCAGGCCAAACCUGCGAACUGGAUUGGAAACUGUUUCCCUUGAGUAUCGGAGAGGUCAGCGGAAGUCCUGGUGUAGCGGUGAAAUGCGUAGAUAUUAGGAAGAACACCAGUGGCGAAGGCGGAUGACUGGACGACAACUGACGGUGAGGCGCGAAAGCGUGGGGAGCAAACAGGAUUAGAUACCCGGGUAGUC